CUACGGGUUGCUGCAGUGGGGAAUAUUGCACAAUGGGCGCAAGCCUGAUGCAGCCAUGCCGCGUGUAUGAAGAAGGCCUUCGGGUUGUAAAGUACUUUCAGCGGGGAGGAAGGGAGUAAAGUUAAUACCUUUGCUCAUUGACGUUACCCGCAGAAGAAGCACCGGCUAACUCCGUGACAGCAGCCGCGGUAAUACGGAGGGUGCAAGCGUUAAUCGGAAUUACUGGGCGUAAAGCGCACGCAGGCGGUUUGUUAAGUCAGAUGUGAAAUCCCCGGGCUCAACCUGGGAACUGCAUCUGAUACUGGCAAGCUAGAGUCUCGUAGAGGGGGGUAGAAUUCCAGGUGUAGCGGUGAAAUGCGUAGAGAUCUGUAGGAAUACCGGUGGCGAAGGCGGCCCCCUGGACGAAGACUGACGCUCAGGUGCGAAAGCGUGGGGAGCAAACAGGAUUAGAUACCCCGGUAGUC
This 464-nucleotide ribosomal RNA is filed under the name uncultured bacterium. Its description in RNAcentral is "partial 16S ribosomal RNA". It matches the Rfam family "Bacterial small subunit ribosomal RNA", at positions 339 to 795 of the family's 1533-position model. The record is from RNAcentral.